This 275-nucleotide long non-coding RNA is filed under the name Linum usitatissimum (flax). Its description in RNAcentral is "long non-coding RNA (LUSI_LNC002340)". The record is from RNAcentral. Lineage: Eukaryota; Viridiplantae; Streptophyta; Magnoliopsida; Malpighiales; Linaceae.
AAAGUUGUUGAUAGCAUUACAUACUAUAUGAACGAAUGGAUUUUAGUUCGUUAUGUCUUUAAUAUAGUCGUAUACAUGACUUUCGAUGUCAGUUUUGGGUAACCGAAUCUAAUAUAGUCUCUAAACUAUUAACCGAGCUCCGGCUUGGUGACGAUUGAGCGGAGGAGGAAGAGAUUCCUCGAGGCCGCGUGGGGCCUGAUGACCCGCGAAACUAGUAAACCUAGUCCCAUUGGAUUUGUUCAGAGACCCAGGAGAUCUGAUGGCGGGGGGGGGGG